GCUUAAGCUAAUAAGAGUCCUCCAGCUCUUCCACAUCUUCUCGGACUCACAGGAUAAAGGCUAAGAGACAGACACCGGGCUCUCCAGUUCCCCAACUGAAGGAUCACUGGAGUCAACCAGACAGGUGGUUCCUCACAGUGUCAAGUCGACAGGACUGGAUUAUACUCUUCAAGCUGACAGAACCAAACACUCCAAUCACCAAACAAACUUUUCAUUGAAUCUUUCCCACGAAGGAAGCCUUCCUAAAAGGACUGAAAAUCAUCUUCAAAUAUGCCUUGUUCUGUCUUUCUAUUCAAAUUUAAGGUUGAGUCACCUCAAGACCUAGAGCCUGUCAGUGGUAACGGCCCUGAGAAGAAACUAAAAAAAUGUAAGCUAACACAACCAGAAAGGAAAGCUUCGCAGUACUGACUCACAUCUAUUGAAUUAUGGAAGUUCAUGAAACCAUUUUGUAUGGUUGAGUCGGGUUGUGGUUGAGAGUGUGUAUACUGCGUGCCUGCAGUGCUUGUGUAGACCAGAAGAGGGCAGCAGAUUCUCCCGGAAAUGGAGUUACAGACAAUUGUGGUCUUUUACAUGGGUCCCUUGGAAGAGCAGUGCUCUUAACCACUGAGCUAUCUCUCUAGUCCUUUAUCUUCUAUAUAGUGAUACUGAUAUUAGACAAUAAAUCAAAGUUGAUGAGGUUA
Molecule: non-coding RNA, 680 nt
Organism: Rattus norvegicus (Norway rat)
Lineage: Eukaryota; Metazoa; Chordata; Mammalia; Rodentia; Muridae
Source: RefSeq, a predicted model, not a curated record